RNAcentral lists this ribosomal RNA (2904 nucleotides) under Escherichia coli. RNAcentral's name for it is "23S ribosomal RNA". It matches the Rfam family "Bacterial large subunit ribosomal RNA". Lineage: Bacteria; Pseudomonadati; Pseudomonadota; Gammaproteobacteria; Enterobacterales; Enterobacteriaceae. The record is from RNAcentral.
GGUUAAGCGACUAAGCGUACACGGUGGAUGCCCUGGCAGUCAGAGGCGAUGAAGGACGUGCUAAUCUGCGAUAAGCGUCGGUGAGGUGAUAUGAACCGUUAUAACCGGCGAUUUCCGAAUGGGGAAACCCAGUGUGUUUCGACACACUAUCAUUAACUGAAUCCAUAGGUUAAUGAGGCGAACCGGGGGAACUGAAACAUCUAAGUACCCCGAGGAAAAGAAAUCAACCGAGAUUCCCCCAGUAGCGGCGAGCGAACGGGGAGGAGCCCAGAGCCUGAAUCAGUGUGUGUGUUAGUGGAAGCGUCUGGAAAGGCGCGCGAUACAGGGUGACAGCCCCGUACACAAAAAUGCACAUAUUGUGAGCUCGAUGAGUAGGGCGGGACACGUGGUAUCCUGUCUGAAUAUGGGGGGACCAUCCUCCAAGGCUAAAUACUCCUGACUGACCGAUAGUGAACCAGUACCGUGAGGGAAAGGCGAAAAGAACCCCGGCGAGGGGAGUGAAAAAGAACCUGAAACCGUGUACGUACAAGCAGUGGGAGCCUCUUAAUGGGGUGACUGCGUACCUUUUGUAUAAUGGGUCAGCGACUUAUAUUCUGUAGCAAGGUUAACCGAAUAGGGGAGCCGAAGGGAAACCGAGUCUUAACUGGGCGUUAAGUUGCAGGGUAUAGACCCGAAACCCGGUGAUCUAGCCAUGGGCAGGUUGAAGGUUGGGUAACACUAACUGGAGGACCGAACCGACUAAUGUUGAAAAAUUAGCGGAUGACUUGUGGCUGGGGGUGAAAGGCCAAUCAAACCGGGAGAUAGCUGGUUCUCCCCGAAAGCUAUUUAGGUAGCGCCUCGUGAAUUCAUCUCCGGGGGUAGAGCACUGUUUCGGCAAGGGGGUCAUCCCGACUUACCAACCCGAUGCAAACUGCGAAUACCGGAGAAUGUUAUCACGGGAGACACACGGCGGGUGCUAACGUCCGUCGUGAAGAGGGAAACAACCCAGACCGCCAGCUAAGGUCCCAAAGUCAUGGUUAAGUGGGAAACGAUGUGGGAAGGCCCAGACAGCCAGGAUGUUGGCUUAGAAGCAGCCAUCAUUUAAAGAAAGCGUAAUAGCUCACUGGUCGAGUCGGCCUGCGCGGAAGAUGUAACGGGGCUAAACCAUGCACCGAAGCUGCGGCAGCGACACUAUGUGUUGUUGGGUAGGGGAGCGUUCUGUAAGCCUGUGAAGGUGGCCUGUGAGGGUUGCUGGAGGUAUCAGAAGUGCGAAUGCUGACAUAAGUAACGAUAAAGCGGGUGAAAAGCCCGCUCGCCGGAAGACCAAGGGUUCCUGUCCAACGUUAAUCGGGGCAGGGUGAGUCGACCCCUAAGGCGAGGCCGAAAGGCGUAGUCGAUGGGAAACAGGUUAAUAUUCCUGUACUUGGUGUUACUGCGAAGGGGGGACGGAGAAGGCUAUGUUGGCCGGGCGACGGUUGUCCCGGUUUAAGCGUGUAGGCUGGUUUUCCAGGCAAAUCCGGAAAAUCAAGGCUGAGGCGUGAUGACGAGGCACUACGGUGCUGAAGCGACAAAUGCCCUGCUUCCAGGAAAAGCCUCUAAGCAUCAGGUAACAUUAAAUCGUACCCCAAACCGACACAGGUGGUCAGGUAGAGAAUACCAAGGCGCUUGAGAGAACUCGGGUGAAGGAACUAGGCAAAAUGGUGCCGUAACUUCGGGAGAAGGCACGCUGAUAUGUAGGUGAAGCGACUUGCUCGUGGAGCUGAAAUCAGUCGAAGAUACCAGCUGGCUGCAACUGUUUAUUAAAAACACAGCACUGUGCAAACACGAAAGUGGACGUAUACGGUGUGACGCCUGCCCGGUGCCGGAAGGUUAAUUGAUGGGGUUAGCGGCAACGCGAAGCUCUUGAUCGAAGCCCCGGUAAACGGCGGCCGUAACUAUAACGGUCCUAAGGUAGCGAAAUUCCUUGUCGGGUAAGUUCCGACCUGCACGAAUGGCGUAAUGAUGGCCAGGCUGUCUCCACCCGAGACUCAGUGAAAUUGAACUCGCUGUGAAGAUGCAGUGUACCCGCGGCAAGACGGAAAGACCCCGUGAACCUUUACUAUAGCUUGACACUGAACAUUGAGCCUUGAUGUGUAGGAUAGGUGGGAGGCUUUGAAGUGUGGACGCCAGUCUGCAUGGAGCCGACCUUGAAAUACCACCCUUUAAUGUUUGAUGUUCUAACGUGGGCCCGUAAUCCGGGUUGCGGACAGUGUCUGGUGGGUAGUUUGACUGGGGCGGUCUCCUCCUAAAGAGUAACGGAGGAGCACGAAGGUUGGCUAAUCCUGGUCGGACAUCAGGAGGUUAGUGCAAUGGCAUAAGCCAGCUUGACUGCGAGCGUGACGGCGCGAGCAGGUGCGAAAGCAGGUCAUAGUGAUCCGGUGGUUCUGAAUGGAAGGGCCAUCGCUCAACGGAUAAAAGGUACUCCGGGGAUAACAGGCUGAUACCGCCCAAGAGUUCAUAUCGACGGCGGUGUUUGGCACCUCGAUGUCGGCUCAUCACAUCCUGGGGCUGAAGUAGGUCCCAAGGGUAUGGCUGUUCGCCAUUUAAAGUGGUACGCGAGCUGGGUUUAGAACGUCGUGAGACAGUUCGGUCCCUAUCUGCCGUGGGCGCUGGAGAACUGAGGGGGGCUGCUCCUAGUACGAGAGGACCGGAGUGGACGCAUCACUGGUGUUCGGGUUGUCAUGCCAAUGGCACUGCCCGGUAGCUAAAUGCGGAAGAGAUAAGUGCUGAAAGCAUCUAAGCACGAAACUUGCCCCGAGAUGAGUUCUCCCUGACCCUUUAAGGGUCCUGAAGGAACGUUGAAGACGACGACGUUGAUAGGCCGGGUGUGUAAGCGCAGCGAUGCGUUGAGCUAACCGGUACUAAUGAACCGUGAGGCUUAACCUU